CUUACCUGAAGAGGCAGUGCCUCUUCUCCUUAUUUUUCUCUUAUGGAUUUUUAUAGAAAAUCCUUAAUCUACGAAGAUCCAACGGUCCGAUCUUCGAUCCGAUUUUGGUAACGUGAUCUACGAAGCCCGAUCUACGUUUCUACCGAUCGGUUUGAGAUUUUGGGUAGUUUGGAGUUGCUAGGAGCUUCCCGAGCAUUUGGUCUUUGCUUGGCGAAUUUUUGUGAUACAUUGCAAGGUGAUGUCUAGGGGACCUAGUGCUUAAUAUCCGCGCAGCCAGAUGAUGUCCAUUUGACUGCAGGUACACCUGACUUAGAGGAGGACCCCGUAGCUGCGUAUUUGGGAUAUUACGAUUGAAGCACACUGUGACAGUCGUAUUGAGUUGGACUAUGGAGUUCACUCUUUUGGGGUAUUUUGUAUAUGACUCUUUUGUAUAGACCACA
Long non-coding RNA from Alnus glutinosa, 440 nucleotides. RefSeq lists it as uncharacterized. Lineage: Eukaryota; Viridiplantae; Streptophyta; Magnoliopsida; Fagales; Betulaceae. The record is from RefSeq and is a predicted model, not a curated record. The transcript has 4 exons.